This is an RNA transcript of Eucalyptus grandis, 1775 nucleotides long. It is a transcript of the gene named probable protein arginine N-methyltransferase 6, with no coding region annotated. Lineage: Eukaryota; Viridiplantae; Streptophyta; Magnoliopsida; Myrtales; Myrtaceae. The record is from RefSeq and is a predicted model, not a curated record. The transcript is spliced from 13 exons.
AAAAGAGAAGAAAAGAAAACCCUACACAGUCCACUGUUGUAGUCCGUUAAAAAGCGCCACCGUCGGGAGUAAAAAACGACGCCGAGAAGAGAGAAAUGUUUUCCGAUCCCGGCUACAGUAACGGCUACUGCCGCCCCCAAGAGGGCGGCGCGGCGCCGGAGCACGGCGCCCUCCGGCCGCCCCACAGGGGCCGCGGGCGCCGGAGGGGACGGCGGGGCAGGUCGCACGACCCGGCCGAUUCUCCCGCCUCCGGCGGCGCCCCUAGGGUUGCCGAUUCCGAGCAGGGGGUGGAGCAGAAGCCUCCGCCCUGCACCGACUUCGACAUGGCGUACUUCCACUCUUACGCCCACCUCGGCAUUCACGAGGAGAUGAUCAAGGAUCGUGUCCGAACAGAGACUUAUAGGACGGCGAUAAUGCGGCAUCAGAGUUCUAUUGCUGGCAAAGUUGUUGUUGAUGUUGGUUGUGGGACAGGCAUUCUCUCUAUUUUUUGUGCCCAGGCUGGUGCCAAACGGGUUUAUGCAGUGGAUGCAAGCGACAUUGCAGUGCAGGCAAAUGAAGUUGUUAAAGCAAAUAAUUUGUCUGACACGGUAAUAGUAUUACAUGGACGAGUUGAGGAUGUUGAGAUCGAUGAGGAGGUUGAUGUGAUAAUCUCGGAGUGGAUGGGGUACUUGCUUCUUUAUGAGAGCAUGUUGGGCAGUGUGAUAACUGCAAGAGAUCGCUGGCUGAAACCUGGAGGCUUGAUCCUUCCAUCAAAUGCGACGUUGUAUAUGGCCCCUGUCACACAUAGCGACCGGUAUAGUGACAGCAUUGAUUUCUGGCGCAAUGUGUAUGGGAUUGAUAUGUCUGCUAUGUUGCCCUUAGCAAAACAAUGUGCCUUCGAAGAGCCUUGUAUAGAGACAAUAUCUGGUGAAAAUGUUUUGACAUGGCCACAUGUGGUAAAGCAUGUGGACUGCUACACUGUUACACUUGGUGAACUAGAGUCAGUCACAACGAAAUAUAAGUUCAAGUCAAUGAUGCGAGCUCCAUUGCAUGGGUUCGCGUUUUGGUUUGAUGUUGAAUUUAAUGGGCCUGCAACAUCUCCCACCAGUAAUCAAGUCUCAUCAUCAUUUAUAGAGUCCUCAAACAAUCAGUCCACAGAUGUCAGUCAGAGGAAAAAACGAGCUAAUCCGAGUGAAGCAUUAGUGCUUUCUACUGCACCAGAGGACCCACCAACCCAUUGGCAACAGUUUUGCAGACUAUGGUAUACUUCUACGAUCCAAUAGACCUUGAGCAAGACCAACUCAUUGACGGUUCUUUAACAUUAACCCAAAGCAAAGAAAAUCGUCGGUUCAUGAAUAUUCACCUUGAAUACACGUCAGGUGGGCGAUCUUUUGUGAAAGAGUCUGUAAUGCGAUGACGUUUCUUGAUUUCCUAGAGUUGGAUUUUCUAUCAGGCGAAUGUAUAUCUCAAAUUGAGGCUAACAGUGAGGUUUAUGGACUUUCCAAUUGUAGUGGGCAUGUGGGGCUAACAUAAGAGCGCGUAUCAUCUCUCUACGAGUUUAUAUAUUCCUAUUUUCCAUCGGAUUGUAUCAGGUCUAAAAUUAUUUGUAGGACGGGAGAGAGAGUUCUUGCGGUGCUUGUUUGAUGAAUGCGUCUCUUGUGAUGCCCCUUUAUGGCCAAAAGACAGGUCAUCGUCUGUCAUAUGGUGCUCCUGUGUCAGUGUUUGCAUUAUUUCAGCAUGGGAACUUACUGAAAGAUUAAAAGUGAUUAUAGAGGCUUUUCAUGAAAUUAGCCUUC